Molecule: ribosomal RNA, 976 nt
Filed under: uncultured bacterium
Lineage: Bacteria
Description: bacterial SSU rRNA
Rfam family: Bacterial small subunit ribosomal RNA
Source: RNAcentral
GAGUUUGAUUCUGGCUCACANCUAACGCUGGCGGCAGGCCUAAGACAUGCAAGUCGUACGAGAAAGAUCUUUCGGGAUUGAGUAUAGUGGCGAACGGGUUAGUAACGCGUGGGAACAUACACAGCACAGGGGGAUAACCAUUGGAAACGGUGGCUAAUACCGCGUACGCCCUAGGGGGGAAAGAUUAAAUCGGUGUUGGAUUGGCCCGCGUUAGAUUAGUUAGUUGGUGGGGUAAGGGCCUACCAAGGCGACGAUUUAUAGCUGGUUUGAGAGGAUGAUCAGCAACACUGGAACUGAGACACGGUCCAGACUCCUACGGGAGGCAGCAGUCGGGAAUAUUGUGCAAUGGGGGCAACCCUGACACAGCCAUGCCGCGUGAGUGAAGAAGGCCUUAGGGUUGUAAAUCUCUUUCAGAUGUGAGGAUGAUGACGAUAGCAUCACAAGAAGCUCCGGCUAACUUCGUGCCAGCAGCCGCGGUAAUACGAAGGGAGCAAGCGUUGUUCGGAAUUACUGGGCGUAAAGGGCGUGUAGGCGGAUUAUCAAGUUAGGGGUGAAAUCCCGGGGCUUAACCUCGGCACUGCCUUUAAGACUGAUAAUCUAGAGUAUGUGAGGGGAUAAUGGAAUACCUAGUGUAGAGGUGAAAUUCGUAGAUAUUAGGUGGAACACCAGUGGCGAAGGCGAUUAUCUGGCACAGUACUGACGCUGAGGCGCGAAAGCGUGGGGAGCAAACAGGAUUAGAUACCCUGGUAGUCCACGCCGUAAACGAUGUAUGCUAGUUGUCGGACAUUGGUUCGGUGACGCAGUUAACGCAAUAAGCAUACCGCCUGGGGAGUACNGUCGCAAAGAUUAAAACUCAAAGAANUUGACNGGGACCCGCACAAGCGGUGGGAGCAUGUGGUUUUAAUUCGAAGCAACGCCNAAGAACCNUUACCCACCUUUGAACAUGGUAGUUAGGGGUAUUUGGANACAAUACCCU